GUAACAUUCUGUGUAUUCCUGAUGUAAAUAUGUCAAUAUAUUUGAUAACAGUCCUCAUUCCGUUUCAACUUGCCUAGACAUUGUUGAAAUAUUUAUUUAGCAUAUUUGUAGAAAGUAAGCAGUAUGAACAAGACCAAAUUCGUAAUAGGAUUUAUCGGACUCUUGUUGCUUUUCAAUAUUUGCACAGCCGGCUGGCGAGUUCGUGUAAGACUGAGGGUUCGGGUUAGCAAAGACAAAAAGCGACGUUCUAUUGAGACUAAGGGAACAGAAUACUCUUUUGAUGUUCCAUGUAAUCUUAUGAAUUACGACAUUGACAACAACGAUAUGAUAAGUAUCGAAGAGUUUGCGGAGGCACUCAAGCAACACGUAGAUAAUACUGGUGUAAGAGAGUUGUUUGUUGUUAUCGAUAAAAACGGAGAUGGAGUUCUCGAUGCUAAAGAGUUGAAUGCGGCUAAAGAGUGUCGAUAAAUAAAUCUGAUGCAGACCAGGACCGGACCCACCAAGAAUUCCCGUUACUACAUUUUUCUUUGCUGAUAAUUAUAAUUCAAAUAAAUCAUUGCAAAUGUU
This is a long non-coding RNA of Mytilus californianus (California mussel), 567 nucleotides long. RefSeq lists it as uncharacterized. The transcript is spliced from 5 exons. The record is from RefSeq and is a predicted model, not a curated record. NCBI's taxonomy places the organism in Eukaryota, Metazoa, Mollusca, Bivalvia, Mytilida, Mytilidae.